RNAcentral lists this long non-coding RNA (1357 nucleotides) under Nicotiana benthamiana. RNAcentral's name for it is "long non-coding RNA (NBEN_LNC029976)". Lineage: Eukaryota; Viridiplantae; Streptophyta; Magnoliopsida; Solanales; Solanaceae. The record is from RNAcentral.
AAUACAAUAAAAUUUAUUAAAAUAUACAUACCUUCUUCAAGUAUCGGUAACUUCACAUUAUUAUAAGUUAUUUCAUGUCACAUUCCACUUGAACUUCACCAUCUGCACAAACAAAAGUUUUAUCCCUCAAGUAUCUAAUCUCUUUCCCAUUGUAUAUCAUAGCCAAUUCUUGAUUCAUUAGUAUCUAAUUGUACUGUCAUUAUUUGCUUAAAGCAAUAAAUAAUCCAUAAAGACAACAGAAAAGAAAAGGUAAGAAUUUCAUCAAUCACAGCACAAUAAUAAUAUCGUUCUAAAAUAAGUAAAUAUCUGCCAAGAAGAACAAAAUAACUAGCCUUUUGGACUUGUGCCAUCCAUAAAGGAUCCUCUGAAAUUAUAGUUACAAAGUUAUAACAUAAAAAAUUGAAUAAAGGAACCUCUAGUAUCCAAAAAUGAAACUUAAUUGCUUUGCAUAAUUCAGUAAAUACAAAAGGGUAAAAGACUAAACCUUGAUAAAACAAAGAAAUGAUCCAAUCAAGGAACCCCACACUGCUAGAAUAGCGAAAAACCGACAGCUAUAAAUUACCUGCAAGAAACCAAAUUCCAAAUAUUAAGAAAUCACAAGACGUCACCUAUUCCAAAUAUAAUUCACUCUAUAUAUUCAAUUAAUUAAGAUGUCACCUUCUCUACAUUUUUCUAUAUCUCUUCUAAGUUUUCUUCAGAAAUAUGAAGCAUGCUUGAAUCAAUAUCAGACUGAAUAACUGAUGAUGAAACAUGAACUGAAGUAUGGGUGCAACGAACUGAAAUAGUAGAUAAGGCAACUGGAAAAUCAAAACCAGAAAUCUGAAACUGAGGUACUACUCAUUUCACAGUUGAAGCUGAUUUUGACUUCUUCACAUAGAUUUGAGCUUUUAGAUAGAACAGAGCCGCGCUGAACUGAAGAGAACUAGAGAAGAGGGGCUGGAUUGGAAAAUAAAAAUAGGGUUAAGUAACUCAUAUCAGUAUUAUAUGGCUAUAUGCGAAGCUGCGAAGGGUAGGGUAGUAAUAGUAUUAUAAAAUAAGGGUAUAUUUGUCUUUUUAUAUAUCUUAUCGAUUUAUCGAUAAACCGAUAAAUCGAAUGGCCAAAAUCGAAAUCGAAUCGAUAAACCGAUAAGGAAAAUUUUCGAAAUCGAAAUCGAAUCGAUAAACCGAUAAACCAAUCGAAUGGCCAAAAUCGAAAUCGAAUCGAUAAACCGAUAACAAAUAAUCGAUUCGAUUUAUCGAUAAACCGAUUCGAAUGCACACCCCUACUACCAUCCCAGAAUGCAUAAAACUCAGUCACCUCCUGGUGUAUGGGUAAGCAGCCUAUUCAUUCAAAACCAUAAUAUGUUUUCGAGAUUAG